RNAcentral lists this unclassified non-coding RNA (391 nucleotides) under soil metagenome. RNAcentral's name for it is "partial contains 5.8S ribosomal RNA, internal transcribed spacer 2, and large subunit ribosomal RNA". The stretch from base 1 to 122 matches the Rfam family "5.8S ribosomal RNA", at positions 35 to 154 of the family's 154-position model. The record is from RNAcentral.
GAUGAAGAACGUAGCGAAAUGCGAUACUUGGUGUGAAUUGCAGAAUCCCGUGAACCAUCGAGUCUUUGAACGCAAGUUGCGCCCGAAGCCAUUAGGCCGAGGGCACGCCUGCCUGGGCAUCACACGUCGUUGCCCCCCCAUCUACUCCUUCGGGAUUGCGGGGGGCGGAUGAUGGCCUCCCGUGCGCCUCGUCGCGCGGUUGGCAUAAAUGCCAAGUCCUCGGCGACGCACGCCACGACAAUCGGUGGUUGCGAAACCUCGGUUGCCCGUCGUGUGCGGUCGUCGCGCAUCGAGGGCUCGAAAAAAUUGCCGGGCUCCGGCUCGGCUUUCAACGCGACCCCAGGUCAGGCGGGGUUACCCGCUGAAUUUAAGCAUAUCAAUAAGCGGUGGA